This 864-nucleotide ribosomal RNA is filed under the name Sporoschisma hemipsilum. Its description in RNAcentral is "partial large subunit ribosomal RNA". It matches the Rfam family "Eukaryotic large subunit ribosomal RNA", at positions 87 to 984 of the family's 3401-position model. Lineage: Eukaryota; Fungi; Ascomycota; Sordariomycetes; Chaetosphaeriales; Chaetosphaeriaceae. The record is from RNAcentral.
CGGCGAGUGAAGCGGCAACAGCUCAAAUUUGAAAUCUGGCCCUCGGGUCCGAGUUGUACUUUGCAGAGGAUGCUUCUGGCGAGGCGCUGCCCAAGUCCCCUGGAACGGGGCGCCGGAGAGGGUGAGAGCCCCGUACGGUCGGCGGCCGAGCCUGUGCGAAGCUCCUUCGACGAGUCGAGUAGUUUGGGAAUGCUGCUCUAAGCGGGAGGUAGACCCCUUCUAAAGCUAAAUACCGGCCAGAGACCGAUAGCGCACAAGUAGAGUGAUCGAAAGAUGAAAAGCACUUUGAAAAGAGGGUUAAACAGCACGUGAAAUUGUUGAAAGGGAAGCGCUUGCGACCAGACGUGCGCCGGGGUGCUCCGCGGGCGUUCUCGCCCGCGCACUCGCCCCGGCGCAGGCCAGCGUCGGUUCGGAUGGGGGGACAAAGGCGCCUGGAACGUGGCUCCCCCGGGAGUGUUAUAGCCAGGCGCGCCAUGCCCCCGCCCGGACCGAGGUUCGCGUUCUGCAAGGACGCUGGCGUAAUGGUCCCCAGCGGCCCGUCUUGAAACACGGACCAAGGAGUCGAGGUUUUGCGCGAGUGUCUGGGUGACAAACCCGCACGCGCAAUGAAAGUGAACGCUGGUGGGAGCUUCGGCGCACCACCGACCGAUCCUGAAGUUUACGGAUGGAUUUGAGUACGAGCGCAGGGCCUCGGACCCGAAAGAUGGUGAACUAUGCUUGGAUAGGGUGAAGCCAGAGGAAACUCUGGUGGAGGCUCGCAGCGGUUCUGACGUGCAAAUCGAUCGUCAAAUCUGAGCAUGGGGGCGAAAGACUAAUCGAACCGUCUAGUAGCUGGUUACUGCCGAAGUUUCCUCAGGAUAGCAG